GUUUGACCUCAAAUCAGGUAGGAAUACCCGCUGAACUUAAGCAUAUCAAUAAGCGGAGGAAAAGAAACCAACCGGGAUUGCCUUAGUAACGGCGAGUGAAGCGGCAAAAGCUCAAAUUUGAAAUCUGGCGUCUUCGACGUCCGAGUUGUAAUUUGAAGAAGGUUACUUUGUAGCUGGUCCUUGUUUAUGUUCCUUGGAACAGGACGUCAUAGAGGGUGAGAAUCCCGUGUGGCGAGGAUACCAGUUAUAUGUAAAGUACUUUCGACGAGUCGAGUUGUUUGGGAAUGCAGCUCUAAGUGGGUGGUAAAUUCCAUCUAAAGCUAAAUAUUGGCGAGAGACCGAUAGCGAACAAGUACAGUGAUGGAAAGAUGAAAAGAACUUUGAAAAGAGAGUGAAAAAGUACGUGAAAUUGUUGAAAGGGAAGGGCAUUUGAUCAGACAUGGCGUUUGCUUCGGCUUUCGCUGGGCCAGCAUCAGUUUUGGCGGCUGGAUAAAUCCUCGGGAAUGUGGCUCUACCGUGGUAGAGUGUUAUAGCCCGUGGGAAUACAGCCAGCUGGGACUGAGGAUUGCGACUUUUGUCAAGGAUGCUGGCGUAAUGGUUAAAUGCCGCCCGUCUUGAAACACGGACCAAGGAGUCUAACGUCUAUGCGAGUGUUUGGGUGUAAAACCCGUACGCGUAAUGAAAGUGAACGUAGGUGAGGGCCCGCAAGGGUG
Molecule: ribosomal RNA, 713 nt
Filed under: Kluyveromyces dobzhanskii CBS 2104
Lineage: Eukaryota; Fungi; Ascomycota; Saccharomycetes; Saccharomycetales; Saccharomycetaceae
Description: eukaryotic LSU rRNA
Rfam family: Eukaryotic large subunit ribosomal RNA
Source: RNAcentral